Molecule: ribosomal RNA, 246 nt
Filed under: uncultured bacterium
Lineage: Bacteria
Description: partial 16S ribosomal RNA
Rfam family: Bacterial small subunit ribosomal RNA
Source: RNAcentral
CGUAUGGUGCAAGCGUUAUCCGGAUUUACUGGGUGUAAAGGGAGCGCAGGCGGUGCGGCAAGUCUGAUGUGAAAGCCCGGGGCUCAACCCCGGGACUGCAUUGGAAACUACCGAACUAGAGUGUCGGAGAGGUAAGUGGAAUUCCUAGUGUAGCGGUGAAAUGCGUAGAUAUUAGGAGGAACACCAGUGGCGAAGGCGGCUUACUGGACUGUAACUGACGUUGAGGCUCGAAAGCGUGGGGAGCAA